This 253-nucleotide ribosomal RNA is filed under the name uncultured bacterium. RNAcentral's name for it is "partial 16S ribosomal RNA". It matches the Rfam family "Bacterial small subunit ribosomal RNA", at positions 524 to 776 of the family's 1533-position model. The record is from RNAcentral.
UACGUAGGGCGCAAGCGUUGUCCGGAAUUAUUGGGCGUAAAGAGCUCGUAGGCGGCCUGUUGCGUCCGCUGUGAAAUCCCGGGGCUUAACCCCGGGCUUGCAGUGGAUACGGGCAGGCUGGAGGCAGGCAGGGGAGAACGGAAUUCCUGGUGUAGCGGUGGAAUGCGCAGAUAUCAGGAGGAACACCGAUGGCGAAGGCAGAUCUCUGGGCCGUAACUGACGCUGAGGAGCGAAAGCGUGGGGAGCGAACAGG